RNAcentral lists this ribosomal RNA (493 nucleotides) under Pseudotrigonidium noctifolia. RNAcentral's name for it is "partial 16S ribosomal RNA". It matches the Rfam family "Bacterial large subunit ribosomal RNA", at positions 1829 to 2582 of the family's 2925-position model. Lineage: Eukaryota; Metazoa; Arthropoda; Insecta; Orthoptera; Phalangopsidae. The record is from RNAcentral.
CUUCUUGAAGUGGAUUGGAAAUUGUACCUGCCCAUUGAAAUGUUUUUUAAAAGGCCGCGGUAUUUUGACCGUGCAAAGGUAGCAUAAUCAUUAGUUCUUUAAUUGAGGACUGGAAUGAAUGGUUUGACGAAAUAAUUACUGUCUCUUAUUUGUUUAUCAAAUUUUACUUUUAAGUUAAAAGGCUUAAAUUAGAAUCAGGGACGAGAAGACCCUAUAGAUCUUUACUAUGAUAAAAUGAUAAUAUUGUUUUAUUUUAUGGGUAUUUAUUUUUAAAUAGUUUUGUUGGGGUGAUGUAAGAAUAUAAUUAACUUCUUAUGAUUAAGACUUUGAUGAUUGGAGUGUGUUGAUCCUGUAAUAUGGAUUUAAGAUUAAGAUACCUUAGGGAUAACAGCGUUAUUUUAUUUGAGAGUUCUUAUUGACAAUAAAGAUUGCGACCUCGAUGUUGGAUUAAGAUAAUAUUUUGGUGCAGAAGCUAGAAAUUGUUAGUCUGUUC